RNAcentral lists this small nuclear RNA (288 nucleotides) under Jaculus jaculus (lesser Egyptian jerboa). RNAcentral describes it as "7SK RNA (ENSJJAG00000004562.1)". It matches the Rfam family "7SK RNA". From Rfam's summary of the family: 7SK was discovered as an abundant small nuclear RNA in the mid-70s but a possible function has only recently been suggested. Lineage: Eukaryota; Metazoa; Chordata; Mammalia; Rodentia; Dipodidae. The record is from Rfam by way of RNAcentral.
GGACGUGGGGGAAAUCUGGCUGCAACAUCUGUCAGCCCAUUGAUCGCCAGGGUUGAUUCAGCUGAUCUGGCUGGCUAGGCUGGUGUCCCCUUCCUCCCUUUCCGCUCUGUGUGCGUCCCUCCAGAGGCUGCACUGUCGGUCAAAGAGGAUGACCUUCUCCAGAUAGGGGAGGACCAGCCAAGGGUAUACGAAUAGCUGAUCUCCCCUGCUAGAACCUCCAAAUAAGCUCUCAAGCUUCAAAUGAGUAACAAAAACCCCAGGGCCUCAUUUAAAGUACAGGGCCAGUUU